CAGGCUCCGAAUUCGCCCUUAGAGUUUGAUCCUGGCUCAGGAUGAACGCUGGCGGCGUGCCUAAUACAUGCAAGUCGAACGGAGAUUGUAGCAAUACGGUCUUAGUGGCGAACGGGUGAGUAACGCGUUGGCAACCUGCCCCGAAGAGCGGGAUAAUGGUCCGAAAGGACCACUAAUACCGCAUGUGAUCCCGAGGAACAGAUACUUGGGAUGAAAGGAAGCAAUUCGCUUCGGGAGGGGCCUGCGUCCCAUCAGCUAGUUGGUAAGGUAACGGCUUACCAAGGCGAUGAUGGGUAGGCGGCCUGAGAGGGUGUACGCCCACAUUGGGACUGAGAUACGGCCCAAACUCCUACGGGAGGCAGCAGCUAAGAAUAUUCCGCAAUGGACGAAAGUCUGACGGAGCGACGCCGCGUGGAUGAAGAAGGCCGAAAGGUUGUAAAAUUCUUUUGUCGGGGAAGAAUAACCAUGGGAGGGAAUGCCCGUGGGAUGACAUGAACCGGCGAAUAAGCCCCGGCUAACUACGUGCCAGCAGCCGCGGUAACACGUAGGGGGCGAGCGUUGUUCGGAAUUACUGGGCGUAAAGGGCAUGUAGGCGGUUUUGUAAGACUGGCGUGAAAGGCUGCAGCUUAACUGUAGCAUGGCGCUGGUAACUACAAGACUUGAGUCACGGAGAGGGAGCUAGAAUUCCAGGUGUAGGGGUGAAAUCUGUAGAUAUCUGGAAGAAUACCAGUGGCGAAGGCGAGCUUCUGGCCGAUGACUGACGCUGAGGUGCGAAAGCGUGGGUAGCAAACAGGAUUAGAUACCCUGGUAGUCCACGCGGUAAACGAUGCACACUAGGUGCUGGGGCGGACGCUUCAGUGCCGGAGUUAACGUGGUAAGUGUGCCGCCUGGGGAGUAUGCUCGCAAGGGUGAAACUCAAAGGAAUUGACGGGGGCCCGCACAAGCGGUGGAGCAUGUGGUUUAAUUCGAUGGUACGCGAGGAACCUUACCUGGGCUUGACAUAUAGAGGAAUGUGGUAGAGAUGCCACAGCCGAGCAAUCGGUCUUUAUACAGGUGCUGCAUGGCUGUCGUCAGCUCGUGCCGUGAGGUGUUGGGUUAAGUCCCGCAACGAGCGCAACCCUUGUUGUGUGUUACACGUAUCACGCAAGACCGCCGGUAGAAAGCCGGAGGAAGGUGGGGAUGACGUCAAGUCAGCAUGGCCUAUAUAUCCUGGGCUACACACACGCUACAAUGGUCGGUACAAUGGGUAGCUAAGCCGCGAGGCGGAGCCAAUCCUAAAAAGCCGGUCUCAGUUCAGAUUGCAGGCUGCAACUCGCCUGCAUGAAGAUGGAGUUGCUAGUAACCGCAGGUCAGCGAUACUGCGGUGAAUACGUUCCCGGGCCUUGUACACACCGCCCGUCACGUCAUGGGAGUUGGCAACACCUGAAGUCGGUAUCCUAACCGAAAGGGGGGAGCCGCCAAAGGUGGGGUCGAUAACUGGGACGAAGUCGUAACAAGGUAGCCAAGGGCGAAUUCGACCCAG
Molecule: ribosomal RNA, 1522 nt
Filed under: uncultured Anaerolineaceae bacterium
Lineage: Bacteria; Bacillati; Chloroflexota; Anaerolineae; Anaerolineales; Anaerolineaceae
Description: partial 16S rRNA
Rfam family: Bacterial small subunit ribosomal RNA
Source: RNAcentral